UAUGAUAAUGACAUUCCCUACCUGUGUGUCUCGACCAAAUUACGUGCCAGCAGUCGCGGUAAUACGUUGGAGACUAGUGUUAGUCGUCUUUAGUAGGUUUAAAGGGUACCUAGACGGUUAUUUCAGCCCCCAAAGGGUACUGUUUAGACUAGAGUUUUAUGAGAGGGGGGGUGUACUAAUGGUGUAGAGAUGAAAUUCAGUCAUACCAUUAAGACAGGCAACAGCGAAGGCAACCCUUUAUGUGUAAGUAAACUGACGUUGAAGGACGAAGGCUUGGUCCACCAAUAGGAUUAGAUACCCUAGCAGUCUAAGCAGACAAUGAUGAAUGCCAUAGACUAAAAAAAAACACACGUGCACAACUGACUUGUUGCUUGUUGCUACAGCAACAAGCAACAAGUCAGUCGUUCUAUGAUGGUAGCAAUAAAAAGAAAGAUAAAAUAUUAUAAAGUUUAGAAUAAUUAUAAUUUCCUUUUUUUAUUAAUUAUAGGCUACCAAGGUUAUAUAUUAAUCGUGAGAGUGUCAUAUAUAACCUUUAAUUUAAUUUAAUUUCUAAGAAUUCUUUAGUAAAGGUGAUUUUGUCUAUAAAUGAAAGUGUAAGCAUUCCACCUCAAGAGUAACGUGGCAACGCGGAAACUGAAAUCAUUAGACCGUUUCUGAAACCAGUAGUGAAGUAUGUUGUUUAAUUUGAUAAUCCGCAAAACACCUUACCACAAUUUGUAUGUUUAGAGAUAAAUACAAGAGUUGCACGGCUGUCUUCAGUUAAUGUCGUGAGAUUUUGGUUAGUUCCAUAAAA
RNAcentral lists this ribosomal RNA (793 nucleotides) under Ochrolechia sp. S38011. RNAcentral describes it as "SSU rRNA". It matches the Rfam family "Bacterial small subunit ribosomal RNA", at positions 462 to 1096 of the family's 1533-position model. Lineage: Eukaryota; Fungi; Ascomycota; Lecanoromycetes; Pertusariales; Ochrolechiaceae. The record is from RNAcentral.